Long non-coding RNA from Zonotrichia leucophrys gambelii, 1859 nucleotides. RefSeq lists it as uncharacterized. The record is from RefSeq and is a predicted model, not a curated record. The transcript has 3 exons. NCBI's taxonomy places the organism in Eukaryota, Metazoa, Chordata, Aves, Passeriformes, Passerellidae.
UGGCAACUGCCUGUGAGGAAAGGCACCUGCUUCCUACUCUCAAAAUCAGAUGCUGUAUAUAAUAAUGUUGUUGAAGUGGGGCCCAGGCAAUACUUUAUCGUUUCACUUUGAACGCUGUUUUUGAACUCAAGUCAUUUAUAAAAGAUUUUCAAAAUUUGCCUGCAAACCAGAAGCAGAACCACAUAUUGCACCACACCACUGCAAUAAAUACUAAGGAAGGUUGAACAUUUCACAAAAGGAAAACUACCAGAAAGAGUUUGAGGUUUUGACUUCAUCCAGACGCCUCUGGUUUACUACUAAAAUUUCCAGCAAAACAGACUGAAUUUUUGCAAUGCUUUUUGCUUUCAAUAGAGCUAUGCAUUCUGCCAAGCCAUGGUUGCUGGAUGAGCAAAGUCUUCCAAGACAGUCUCUGCAGCAACAGAUGCAGGACUGAAGGCUGGAAGUGACAUGAAGCAUAGAAGGUCUAAUUAAAAUUACACAGGGCAGCAAAAUGAAUGAACUUUGAAAAUCCUGAGUCUGAGCAAUAGAGGGACAACCUGGAGUCCUUCAGGAAUGACCUGUGAAGAUGUGAUCCUCUGGAACCACUGCCAGUCUUGGUACCAGUCUGGACAGAUGGCACUGCAGAAUAUCUACAGUUUGUCUUUAAAAUAUAUGCAAAGACUUCAUAAGGUGAGGCUUAUAAACAGCCCAUACUGGUUGGACAAACAAGAUACCACCUGUCUCAACACACACCACUUGUUGAUGUUCAUACACCAUAGACCAAGUGCUAGAAUAUGUGGUUUUGUAUUUUGAGGAUCUUACCACAUCUACCUCAUUUCUGAUGACACAGAAGAGGCAGUGGUCUGUGAAAGCCUGGUAGCAGCAGAUUUGUUUCCAUGUUCUGUCUCUAGAAUGAGAUGGUCCUUAUCAAACACCACCAAGCGUGGAAGUGAAGCUUCUAGAAGCACAUGCGCAUGUGGCCUCCCCACUCUGUCAUGGAGGGAUCUCUUAUGGGUUGGUUCCUUCUGAAGCCCUCCCCGUUUUUAGCCAUACUCUUCCAGAACAGUUAGAAAACCUUUAAAGCAGUGUUUUCCAAAGAACCAUGUGUGGGAAAGCAGCCAGAGCCCAGGAAAGGCUGGUAAGAGGAUGUAUGCUAAUGAGGAAACUGUCCUGGUAGAUGGGAUAAUGAUUGAGCCUUCUUAGGAGGGAAGAGACGAGGGAAAACCAUUGGAAAAGUGCCAGAACAGAGUGAUUAAAAGUCCUUUCAUUUUAUAUUACGGAGUGGCUGAAGGCUGCCAGCCUUGUUUGAAUUUAAUGGGAGCUUGUCCUUGACCCGUGUUCAUGCUGCAUCACAUGAGUCACGGCCGUGGCAUCCUGCGAGAGCAGGUGUCUGAUUGGGCGGAGGAGCUGCUGCUGCACCGCAGCCAGCGGGCACACGGUGCCUCCGGUGCCGCACAGGUAAGGCGGGAGGCAGGCAAAGUGCUGUGCUCUGCCCCGCUCCCCCUCUGCCCGUCGGGGCUGCCUGACCGCCGUGAGAGCAUCAUCCCCGGCGGGGCUCACCCCUCCUCCGGCCGAGCCUGAGCUGGACGCCGCAGGUUGUUGUUGUGUUGCCGCGGGGCACUGCACCGGGUGCCCCCCACCUGGCCAAGGGUUUGCAAGCGCCGCUGCAGGGCUGGGACGGGAACACGCAGCCGCUCGCCCCUCGGGCGGACCGAGCGCCUCUCGCCGCAGCGCUGGGUCCAUGUGGCACGGCUGAGCAGCCGAUCGCUCGGGCUGAGCGCUGCCGGCGACCCUUUCCCCUCCUGCCGCCCUGUGGGCCCUGCAAGCAACUUCUGCGCCGGCGUUAAGCCCCGCGGGCCUCUCCGCCCGGCCGCGGCUCU